ACCUAUGCUGUCCUGUCCUUCUUGAGAAUCUGAAACAUACCACAAAACGUAUUCAGCCUUUUGUUCCGUUUGGCAUUAGAAAUCAAAUGUAGAAUCUCCUUUGAGAAAUGUGCAAACUUGGAAAAUCACAGGUGAAUUGGUCCUCUUUAUGCCCCUUUUCUUGAACUCAGGAAGGACACAUACUUAGUCACCUACCCUGGCCCCAGCACAUUUUCCCCAGACAUCAUGCCCUCUGGGAACACACAGGUGAGAAUCCUAAGGGACAUCUCCACGUAAGUCAGUCUCCUGCUUCUUCAGAUGUCCUCUGUGAUGUUCUCCGGGAAGGGAGAGGACCUGUGAAUAGAAUGAGCUUUGGCAUAAAAUCAUGUGCACCUCAGUUUUCAGUCCUGUGUCACCUGUUAAGCUAAAGAUGGAGAUUUGUUAGCUAGAAGGACUAUAACUUGAAUGGAAUUUACUUUAUGAUUUGUGAGGUCUCUUACACAUCUAGCCUUUUAUAUUGUUAAUGUUUUCUUUUGUGUUUAUUACUGAAUAUUUCAGUGCAAAUUUAUCAACUCGGAGAAACAGAGAUUAAAAAUAGAAGUAAACACUAAUACGAGCUCUAGAAAAAAAAGGGAACAGAAAGUCUUUGCCUGCUAAGUAAGUGGCAAUUC
RNAcentral lists this long non-coding RNA (650 nucleotides) under Bos taurus (domestic cattle). RNAcentral's name for it is "long non-coding RNA NONBTAT019447". Lineage: Eukaryota; Metazoa; Chordata; Mammalia; Artiodactyla; Bovidae. The record is from RNAcentral.